GAAUGAGAUGCGGCCCUAGGGGUAAAAUCCUAGAGCUUCAACCUCCACCCUUGUGUAUCAUUCAAUUAUUGCUUUGGUAGGCCGCGAGCGUAAUAGCAAGCACCGGCUUCGGCUGGAGAGCGCCUGCCAGAGGACCAAACUCUGUAUUUUGUAUUAUCUGAGUACUAUAUAAUAGUUA
RNAcentral lists this unclassified non-coding RNA (178 nucleotides) under uncultured Hyaloscyphaceae. Its description in RNAcentral is "sequence contains ITS1". The record is from RNAcentral. Lineage: Eukaryota; Fungi; Ascomycota; Leotiomycetes; Helotiales.